This 1017-nucleotide long non-coding RNA is filed under the name Oryctolagus cuniculus (rabbit). Its description in RNAcentral is "lncRNA (ENSOCUG00000037858.1)". Lineage: Eukaryota; Metazoa; Chordata; Mammalia; Lagomorpha; Leporidae. The record is from RNAcentral.
CUUUUGGGCUGUUUCUCUAUCUUGGAUAAUAUGAAUAACGACGCAGUGUUUAUAGUGUGCUGGUAUCUUUUCAUGAUUUAACUUCUUUUGAAUAUAUGAUAUUGCAAAUAAAUAAAUAAGGAAUAAAGUUUACCAGAUAGUGAAAUAAUUGUAUAUGGAACAUUGUGGAACAUAGAUGAAAUAACUUAAAGCAAAUACAGAUGAAUGGAAAGACAUCCCAUGUUAGUGGAUCAGAAUGAUCCAUGUUGUCACAUUAUUCACACUGGAAGAGCAGAGUCCCUGAGCCUCAGCCAGGUCUGCUCUGGGUUCGCGCUGCCUUUUCCACACUCUCCCAGCGUCCAACACAGUCUUGAAAGCUCAGACGGAGAUCACUUCUGUCAGAGAAGGGUGAUGUGCUACCAGCCCUGCUUGGUGCACUGCACCAGCAUGCUUGAAAUGGAAAUAAAUCUGAUUCCUCUUGGGACAGAAACAAGCCCUUUAAAUGUAUACUGGGUAAACACGAGAUGAUUUGAGGCUAAGAAGGUGCGGUUGUUCAGAUGAUUGGAGGUCAGACAGCCAACCUGCCCAUCUCCCCAGACUAUGCCUAUGGUGCCCCCGGUACCCAGGCAUCAUCCCGCCACAUGCCACUCUCCACUUUGCUGUGGAGCUUCUAAUGCAGGACUGACUGGGACGGCCUCCUUCCGUUUGCUCCCUGUUCUUGGAUCUGCCAUGAAGUGGUCUGACGCUGCAGAGUCAUGCACAAGAAUCCAAAGAGAGCUUUGCCUGAGGAUCCACUGCACUCUCUGCACAAGCAUCUGCUCAACUGAAUGUGCUCGGCAACUACUUCAGAGGUGGAGAUGGGGUUUCAGGAGUGAAGCUGAAAGAGAAGAGGAACACCUGGAAGAGGCCACACUGGAUAUGGAUCCUGAUAACCAGGGAAGAAUUUUAUCUAUUUCACUCCAUGGAAGAACUGGAAGACAACCCAUCAUGCUUGGUUCCCAAUAUAACGAACUCAGGCACUAUAUAUGGCUCUACUGA